This 253-nucleotide ribosomal RNA is filed under the name uncultured bacterium. RNAcentral's name for it is "partial 16S ribosomal RNA". It matches the Rfam family "Bacterial small subunit ribosomal RNA", at positions 524 to 776 of the family's 1533-position model. The record is from RNAcentral.
CACGUAGGGUGCGAGCGUUGUCCGGAAUUAUUGGGCGUAAAGGGCUCGUAGGCGGUUUGUCGCGUCGGGAGUGAAAACACUGGGCUUAACUCAGUGCUUGCUUCCGAUACGGGCAGACUAGAGGUAUGCAGGGGAGAACGGAAUUCCUGGUGUAGCGGUGAAAUGCGCAGAUAUCAGGAGGAACACCGGUGGCGAAGGCGGUUCUCUGGGCAUUACCUGACGCUGAGGAGCGAAAGUGUGGGGAGCGAACAGG